Sorex araneus (European shrew) is the source of this 105-nucleotide small nuclear RNA. NCBI's taxonomy places the organism in Eukaryota, Metazoa, Chordata, Mammalia, Eulipotyphla, Soricidae. The record is from Ensembl.
GUGCUCACUUUGGCAGCACAUAUACUACAUUUGGAACAAUACAGAGAAGAUGGGGAUGCCCAGCACAAGGAUGACAUGCAAAUUUGUGAAGUGUUCAUAAUAUUU